This 770-nucleotide ribosomal RNA is filed under the name Pterostichus infimus. RNAcentral describes it as "partial large subunit ribosomal RNA". The stretch from base 1 to 583 matches the Rfam family "Bacterial large subunit ribosomal RNA", at positions 1836 to 2925 of the family's 2925-position model. Lineage: Eukaryota; Metazoa; Arthropoda; Insecta; Coleoptera; Carabidae. The record is from RNAcentral.
UUGAAAUAUAUAUAAAGUCUAACCUGCCCACUGAAAUUUUUAAAUGGCCGCAGUAUUUUGACUGUGCAAAGGUAGCAUAAUCAUUAGUUUUUUAAUUAAAAGCUUGUAUGAAAGGUUGGACGAAGUAAAAUCUGUCUCUAUUUAAUUUAAAUUAGAAUUUAAUUUUUAAGUUAAAAAGCUUAAAUUUUUAUAAAAGACGAGAAGACCCUAUAGAACUUUAUAAUUUAUUUAAUAUAAUUAAUUAAGAUUUAUUUAAGUUUUAUUAUAUAUAAUUAUUUUAUUGGGGUAAUAGAAAGAUUAAAAAAAUUCUUUUUUUUUAUUAACAUUUAUUUAUGAUAAUAUUAUUAAUGAUCCAUUUUUAAUGAUUAUAAGAUUAAGUUACCUUAGGGAUAACAGCGUAAUUUUUUUAAAGAGUUCAUAUCGAUAAAAAAGUUUGCGACCUCGAUGUUGGAUUAAAGAUUAAUUUAGGUGUAGAAGUUUAAAUUUUUGGUCUGUUCGACCAUUAAAUCUUUACAUGAUCUGAGUUCAGACCGGUGUAAGCCAGGUCGGUUUCUAUCUUUAUUAAAUUUAAAUAUUUUAGUACGAAAGGACCAAAUAUUUGAUAUAUUAAUAUUUAUUUUUUGAAUAUUAUUAAUUAUUUUGGCAGAUUAGUGCAAUGAAUUUAGAAUUCAUAUAUGUAAUUAUUUUUACAAGUAAUACUUGUUUUAUAUAGAUUUAUUAUUUUCUUUAAUUUUUAGAUUAUUAUUGAUUAUUUGUGUUUUAGUUGGGGU